CCUACGGGGGGCAGCAGUGGGGGAUAUUGCACAAUGGGGGAAACCCUGAUGCAGCGACGCCGCGUGGGUGAAGAAGCGCCUCGGCGCGUACAGCCCUGUCAGCAGGGAAGAAAAUGACGGUACCUGAAGAAGAAGCCCCGGCUACCUACGUCCAAGCUGCCGCGGUCAUCCGUAGGGGGCAAGCGUUAUCCGGAUUUACUGGGUGUAAAGGGGGCGCAGUCGGCGAUGCAAGCCAGGAGUGAAAGCCCCGGGCCCAACCCCGGGACUGCUCUUGGAACUGCGUGGCUAGAGUGCGGGAGGGGCAGGCGGAAUUCCUGGUGUAGCGGUGAAAUGCGUAGAUAUCAGGAGGAACACCGGUGGCGAAGGCGGCCUGCUGGACUGCAACUGACGUUGAGGCCCGAAAGCGUGGGGAGCAAACAGGAUUAGAUACCCUUGUAGUC
This 440-nucleotide ribosomal RNA is filed under the name uncultured bacterium. RNAcentral describes it as "partial 16S ribosomal RNA". It matches the Rfam family "Bacterial small subunit ribosomal RNA", at positions 338 to 795 of the family's 1533-position model. The record is from RNAcentral.